RNAcentral lists this ribosomal RNA (459 nucleotides) under uncultured bacterium. RNAcentral's name for it is "partial 16S ribosomal RNA". It matches the Rfam family "Bacterial small subunit ribosomal RNA", at positions 338 to 795 of the family's 1533-position model. The record is from RNAcentral.
CCUACGGGUGGCAGCAGUGAGGAAUAUUGGUCAAUGGGCGCGAGCCUGAACCAGUCAAGUCGCGUGAGGGAAGACGGUCCUAUGGAUUGUAAACCUCUUUUGUCGGGGAGCAAAAGACGCCACGCGUGGCGUUCCGAGCGUACCCGAAGAAAAAGCAUCGGCUAACACCGUGCCAGCAGCCGCGGUAAUACGGAGGAUGCGAGCGUUAUCCGGAUUUAUUGGGUUUAAAGGGUGCGCAGGCGGAAGAUCAAGUCAGCGGUAAAAUUGAGAGGCUCAACCUCUUCGAGCCGUUGAAACUGGUUGUCUUGAGUGAGUGAGAAGUAUGCGGAAUGCGUGGUGUAGCGGUGAAAUGCAUAGAUAUCACGCAGAACUCCGAUUGCGAAGGCAGCAUACCGGCGCUCAACUGACGCUCAUGCACGAAAGUGUGGGUAUCGAACAGGAUUAGAGACCCCGGUAGUC